RNAcentral lists this transfer RNA (57 nucleotides) under Cavia porcellus (domestic guinea pig). It matches the Rfam family "tRNA", at positions 8 to 63 of the family's 71-position model. Rfam says of the family: Transfer RNA (tRNA) molecules are approximately 80 nucleotides in length. The record is from Rfam by way of RNAcentral. Lineage: Eukaryota; Metazoa; Chordata; Mammalia; Rodentia; Caviidae.
UGGCUCAGUGGUAGAGCUCUUGCCUUGCAUGCACAAGGUCAUGGGUUCAAUCCCCAU